Cyanidioschyzon merolae strain 10D is the source of this 2490-nucleotide RNA transcript. RefSeq lists it as hypothetical. NCBI's taxonomy places the organism in Eukaryota, Rhodophyta, Bangiophyceae, Cyanidiales, Cyanidiaceae. The record is from RefSeq and is a predicted model, not a curated record. The transcript has a single exon.
AACCGACAAGUCCGCAACUUCACUGGAAUGCAGUCAGAGACUGCUGUUGCAUAGGGAGUGCACUGACCGAUGCACGGUGUGGGACAGUGUUCAUAGGGCCUGGAUUCGAGAAAGCUCGGGAACGAGCGGCAUCUGUAGCGUCGGUUCCUGUGCUUGCCUCCCGGAACUAGGUGCAAACUACUCGCUGGUCUGCACGGUGCGGUGCCGUAUGCUCCAGUGACUGGACAGCUAGUUCGCCAGUGGUGGUUAGGGUGAAAGUUUUCUGACCUUGUAGAAAUUCGGUUGCGGUAUCCUAACGGGAGUUUGAUGCCAUUAGGGAGACAUUUCCGGUUCAAAGCCCUGAUCGCAGGUUCGGGGAACCUGGUGCCGCAACUCGCUAGCGAGGUAUUCGGUAAGCGGGCCUCGGGCGUCUUGAUCGCUGCUGGAGCGCGUUCCUGUUGACCAGGCACGGAGAGUACGACGCUGGCCGGCACGUGAUCCUACUCGCAAGCGUACUGAAAAAGUCCGUGCUCCGAGACAAGUCACGGAGAUGCGCGCCACCGUGCAAGCCUUCUUUACCCGAUUGGUUUGUGGUGUGCAAGUCACGUUCUGAGCCGCAUACGACUAGAGCGUGGAGCAGUGCAAGGCACUGCAUCAAUUACCCCCUUGGCGCUAGCUGCCACUGGUGACGCUUUCACCAGACGUGAAACCGGUUCCCUGUGGACUAGUUCCGUGGUCGCUCGUGUCUCGGGCUUGCUGCGUUUGGCGACGAGACGUUUGAAUGGACUGCUAUGGAACAACUAAGUACAAGUGAGCGAGCCAGCAAACGCUUUUACCAUAGUAUUGUUGUUGGUGUUGUUGGUGUUGCACAUGCUGGAAACCGAGACGCGAAAGGCAGCACCAGAUGCACUACGGGGGAGCGCAUCAGAGACUCGGGGGCUGCUUCGCUUUGCCAUCACUGUGCAGUCGCGUCUUCGAAUAGGAUAUGUAAUCGGAUGAUUGCAGCUUCGAAAGGAGCAAAACUAUGGUGCAUUCAGACCCUGGAAUUGUUUUGCCGUCGCCUCUCGGGGUACGCCUGCGGCUCACGUGAGUGAAUGGGCAUCGAAUUCCGGAAUACCAGUAUCAGGGCGCCUUUUUUGUAUUUGUUUUGCUUUUCGCCCAGGUAUUCGAGCAUGGGAAUGCACGUUGUACAUUGGGGAAACGUCACGCAAAGAUUCUAGAAUGUCAUUGUUGUCAAUCGAAAAUCGGCAUCAAUUUGACAAGUCCGUCAUUCUAGUGGAUGCGGGGGAAUACACCGGCUUUCUCAUUGCCUCCAUCCUAGACGUUUGGCACCCAGACUAGAAUAUGUAGAGCUCCAUGCACAUGACUGACCACCUCGUCAGUCCAUUCCAAUGACUGAUUCUCUAAGAAAUACUACCAAAGAGACAAUAGGAUGCAAAGAUUUCGUAUCGUUGACUCGAAUGUCAGCGGUGUGACACCGAUGGAUAACGCAACAGACGUACGCCUCUACGCGAGGGAGUCGCGCGUCGAACAACACGCUGUCAGUUUCGCACUGAAACGCGAACGUUCAUUCCAGGAAGCGUGGAUUUUCGUUUCACUCGAUGCGACUCGGUUCGGGAGAAUGGGGUACUCGACCAGGGCAACCGCUGUUUUUAAGAAAGGGACAAAUGCGCAUUUCGCCAGCAUUAGCUUCAGGGGCAAUUCAGUGGUUUGGUAGCGUACCACUCGCGAAAUGCACUGGACCGUUCAACACCAUGUCCGUCGUCGAAGCACUUGGUGGCUCCUCGUUACCGCAUUCAUGUGACCAGCUUUCAGAUAAGUUUGCUUUUCAAUACUCAAAAGUCGUCCAGGAGUACGCAACCGAGAUUGGCGUUCAGCUGCUCUUUGUCGCAACUUGCGUUUCUUAUCGUAUGCAUUCGGAAGCGUUUUAUAUGAUGCUGUACGCCAUUUUCACGAUGAUGGAUUCAUGGACAAGUCGUUCGCAUCUGCGACAUGACGUUCCUCGAUAAAUCGCUUUCGGUCUUUCCCAGCCCUGAACUGCAGUAUUGCUUGUCCAGUCGUGAGUGCGAGGAACCAGAAUGGCUCGCCUCGGUCGCUGAGCGUGCUCGUACCAAAGCCGAUGACGACAAUGCACCUGAGGAAUAGAAUAGGCAUACGUAGAGCAUGCGAUUUGGGGUCUCAUUGUCCAGCCAGUGCAUCUGAGUCCCGGAAAUGAAAACGAUGGCAUGUGGCGUCCAUAUCUAUGCUAUGCAGCGCUGUGGACGAGAGGAAGUACCACAACACGAAAAACGGAAUGGAAAUAUCCUCACCAAAGAAGAUCAGGUCGGACAGGAAUGAAAAAAGUGUCGAAGCGACCCGAUCAAUCUGGAACCGUUGCCAAGGCCUCGCGACUCGAACAGAUCUUCGAUGAGCAUCUUCCACAAAGAACGGUGCACCAAGUCAUUAGGGAUCCUAAAGCUUCGCUGUAGACGGGCACUCGCCGAGCUCCACUCGCAUGCACGCUGCUCGUCA